AUUGAACGCUGGCGGCAGGCCUAACACAUGCAAGUCGGGCGGUAACAGGGAGAAGCCUGCUUCUCUGCUGACGAGCGGCGGACGGGUGAGUAAUGUAUGGGAAUCUGCCUGAUGGAGGGGGAUAACUACUGGAAACGGUAGCUAAUACCGCAUAAUGUCUCCGGACCAAAGCGGGGGACCUUCGGGCCUCGCACCAUCAGAUGAACCCAUAUGGGAUUAGCUUGUAGGUGAGGGUAACGGCUCACCUAGGCGACGAUCCCUAGCUGGUCUGAGAGGGAUGAUCAGCCACACUGGGGACUGAGACACGGGCCCAGACUCCUACGGGGGAGGCAGCAGUGGGGGAAUAUUGCACAAUGGGC
RNAcentral lists this ribosomal RNA (359 nucleotides) under uncultured Morganella. Its description in RNAcentral is "bacterial SSU rRNA". It matches the Rfam family "Bacterial small subunit ribosomal RNA", at positions 30 to 376 of the family's 1533-position model. The record is from RNAcentral. Lineage: Eukaryota; Fungi; Basidiomycota; Agaricomycetes; Agaricales; Lycoperdaceae.